UUUCAGUGAUGUCUUAACAAAUGUCUGACCUGAACAUAAAUGUGGACAAUAUGUUACUGAGUAA
Thunnus maccoyii (southern bluefin tuna) is the source of this 64-nucleotide small nucleolar RNA. The record is from RefSeq and is a predicted model, not a curated record. Lineage: Eukaryota; Metazoa; Chordata; Actinopteri; Scombriformes; Scombridae.